UAGGGAAUCUUCGGCAAUGGACGAAAGUCUGACCGAGCAACGCCGCGUGAGUGAAGAAGGUUUUCGGAUCGUAAAACUCUGUUGUUAGAGAAGAACAAGGACGUUAGUAACUGAACGUCCCCUGACGGUAUCUAACCAGAAAGCCACGGCUAACUACGUGCCAGCAGCCGCGGUAAUACGUAGGUGGCAAGCGUUGUCCGGAUUUAUUGGGCGUAAAGCGAGCGCAGGCGGUCUCUUAAGUCUGAUGUGAAAGCCCCCGGCUCAACCGGGGAGGGUCAUUGGAAACUGGGAGACUUGAGUGCAGAAGAGGAGAGUGGAAUUCCAUGUGUAGCGGUGAAAUGCGUAGAUAUAUGGAGGAACACCAGUGGCGAAGGCGGCUCUCUGGUCUGCAACUGACGCUGAGGCUCGAAAGCGUGGGGAGCAAACAGG
This 429-nucleotide ribosomal RNA is filed under the name Gemmatimonadota bacterium. RNAcentral's name for it is "Gemmatimonadetes bacterium partial 16S ribosomal RNA". It matches the Rfam family "Bacterial small subunit ribosomal RNA", at positions 355 to 776 of the family's 1533-position model. The record is from RNAcentral. Lineage: Bacteria; Pseudomonadati; Gemmatimonadota.